Molecule: long non-coding RNA, 247 nt
Filed under: Brassica napus (rape)
Lineage: Eukaryota; Viridiplantae; Streptophyta; Magnoliopsida; Brassicales; Brassicaceae
Description: long non-coding RNA (BNAP_LNC019396)
Source: RNAcentral
GCGCAGGUGUUGUUGUGUGGGUCGGUUCGAAAGUUGUAAGAGCUAUUGUUUCAAGGUUUGAGAGCGCCUUUUUUCCGGUAACUCGCGGAAACUGUAUCAACCAUUCCACUCAUUCCUCGUCUAAGGACUUUCACUCCUGUUGGUGUCCGGUUCAAUUUUAGGAUUUGAUUUUCUUUCAUUUCAGUUUUUGGUUCCGUAAAAAAUCUUAAAAUUUUGGUACAAUAAUUUAACAUUUGACCAGAAUUUU